Molecule: ribosomal RNA, 253 nt
Filed under: uncultured bacterium
Lineage: Bacteria
Description: partial 16S ribosomal RNA
Rfam family: Bacterial small subunit ribosomal RNA
Source: RNAcentral
UACGAAGGGGGCUAGCGUUGCUCGGAAUUACUGGGCGUAAAGCGUGCGCAGGCGGUUUUGUAAGUCUGUCGUGAAAUCCCCGGGCUCAACCUGGGAAUUGCGAUGGAGACUGCAAGGCUGGAGUCUGGCAGAGGGGGGUAGAAUUCCACGUGUAGCAGUGAAAUGCGUAGAGAUGUGGAGGAACACCGAUGGCGAAGGCAGCCCCCUGGGUCAAGACUGACGCUCAUGCACGAAAGCGUGGGGAGCAAACAGG